RNAcentral lists this long non-coding RNA (815 nucleotides) under Mytilus galloprovincialis (Mediterranean mussel). Lineage: Eukaryota; Metazoa; Mollusca; Bivalvia; Mytilida; Mytilidae. The record is from RNAcentral.
GCCCCGAAUUCAAACAAGAGAAUUGUUCCUUAUAAACUACGAUUUCUCACAAGUAUUAAUUUAUUAUUUAGUUCCACACAUGCAUAAGAAAUAAUCUUCGCCGAUGUAACAUUUCAAUUUAUUACAACAACAUGCCUUCACUGAAUUCAUUCAGGUGCACCAAUGAUACGAUUAAAGUUAUUUUGUUUCUAUCUUUGGGGGACAAUUUCCUCCGUUUAUGGUACGCUUAUAGCUACAUUUUUGUACUGUGUGUAUGUUUUAUAGCAUGAAAAUAAUAAAAGAGGAAUGUCAGUGCAACCACUGAUUAAUGAUUGUAAUGGAUCAGUAUUAUGAGAUACUUAUUAUAAGUGACUACGACAUUGUUAGGAUUAUAACCUAUCGUCAGUAUGAAAGAAAUUAAAAGUGGUUCAUAUAUAUUCAUCCGUAUAAAAGCGGCACAUGUAUUUUAUUUUAUCCUUAUAUUUCUCAUCAUGCCGGGUACAAGAUAAUUGAGUUGCUGCAUGCAAAGAACUUAGAAUAUUACUUAAAACAAACUAUCAGUAUAAUAUUUCGACCCCACUUUUUGAAGUUAAUAAAACAUUUAUUUAUUUCUUUUGACCAAAGGUUUGUAAACUAUACAAAUCAUUGUUUUUACGUUCGUAGUAACAUAGUAAAUUCCAUUGUCGGUCACCUGUGUCAAUUCACAUGCACACUUAUUACAUUGUUGUUGUAUUUAAAUCUUUCGGCCAAUGAAAUGAGACGUAACAAGUUGUUUGUUUGUGAUACGCCAGAAUGUUAUCAAUGAACUAUCAAACGCUAAAGUCGACUGCAUUUCA